Molecule: non-coding RNA, 339 nt
Organism: Vicia faba (fava bean)
Lineage: Eukaryota; Viridiplantae; Streptophyta; Magnoliopsida; Fabales; Fabaceae
Source: the annotation of a GenBank genome assembly
AUGGUGAAGGGUCGCCAAGGAGAACGCAUCAGACUUUACGUCAGGGGUACCAUCCUUGGAUACAAGAGAUCCAAAUCAAACCAGUACCCAAACACGUCACUGAUUCAAAUAGAGGGAGUGAAUACCAAGGAAGAGGUAGCGUGGUAUGCUGGAAAGAAGAUGGCUUACAUCUACAAGGCAAAGGUGAAGAAGAAUGGUACUCAUUACCGUUGUUUAUGGGGCAAGGUUACUAGACCUCAUGGUAACAGUGGUAUUGUUCGUGCUAAGUUCAAGUCCAACCUUCCACCUAAAUCAAUGGGUGCACGUGUGCGAGUUUUCAUGUAUCCAAGUAACAUAUGA